This 225-nucleotide unclassified non-coding RNA is filed under the name Fusarium buharicum. RNAcentral describes it as "partial internal transcribed spacer region". The stretch from base 1 to 46 matches the Rfam family "Eukaryotic small subunit ribosomal RNA", at positions 1786 to 1831 of the family's 1831-position model. RNAcentral also lists the same sequence under 1 other name. Lineage: Eukaryota; Fungi; Ascomycota; Sordariomycetes; Hypocreales; Nectriaceae. The record is from RNAcentral.
AAGUCGUAACAAGGUCUCCGUUGGUGAACCAGCGGAGGGAUCAUUACCGAGUUUACAACUCCCAAACCCCUGUGAACAUACCUUAACGUUGCCUCGGCGGAUCAGCCCGCUCCCGGUAAAACGGGACGGCCCGCCAGAGGACCCAAACCCUAUUGUUUUUAGUGUAUCUUCUGAGUAACAUAAACAAAUAAAUCAAAACUUUCAACAACGGAUCUCUUGGUUCUG